This 198-nucleotide long non-coding RNA is filed under the name Anas platyrhynchos platyrhynchos (common mallard). RNAcentral describes it as "lncRNA (ENSAPLG00000019160.1)". Lineage: Eukaryota; Metazoa; Chordata; Aves; Anseriformes; Anatidae. The record is from RNAcentral.
AUGAUGUUUGGCAGCUUUCAAGGUAAAACAGUAAGUCUGAGGAGCAGAAACCAAGGUCAGUGCUGGAAGUGCUCUUCAGUGUUGCAAGUCACUGCAAUAAAAUUCUCCAGGCUUUCCUCCGGAAGUAAGAGGAGAAACUCUUCCUAUUUCAACUUCAGCUGUAGUGGGAAUGAUGAUGAAAUGGACACAGAAGGGUGA